This 445-nucleotide ribosomal RNA is filed under the name uncultured bacterium. Its description in RNAcentral is "partial 16S ribosomal RNA". It matches the Rfam family "Bacterial small subunit ribosomal RNA", at positions 354 to 796 of the family's 1533-position model. The record is from RNAcentral.
GUGAGGAAUAUUGGUCAAUGGGCGAGAGCCUGAACCAGCCAAGUCGCGUGAAGGAAGAAGGAUCUAUGGUUCGUAAACUUCUUUUCCAGGGGAAUAAAGUGCGGGACGUGUCCUGUUUUGUAUGUACCCUGAGAAUAAGGAUCGGCUAACUCCGUGCCAGCAGCCGCGGUAAUACGGAGGAUCCGAGCGUUAUCCGGAUUUAUUGGGUUUAAAGGGUGCGUAGGUGGUUUGAUAAGUCAGCGGUGAAAGUUUGCAGCUUAACUGUAAAAAUGCCGUUGAAACUGUCGGACUUGAGUGUAAAUGAGGUAGGCGGAAUGCGUGGUGUAGCGGUGAAAUGCAUAGAUAUCACGCAGAACUCCGAUUGCGAAGGCAGCUUACUAAGCUACAACUGACACUGAAGCACGAAAGCGUGGGGAUCAAACAGGAUUAGAUACCCGGGUAGUCC